RNAcentral lists this transfer RNA (81 nucleotides) under Coniogramme japonica. RNAcentral's name for it is "tRNA-Leu". It matches the Rfam family "tRNA". From Rfam's summary of the family: Transfer RNA (tRNA) molecules are approximately 80 nucleotides in length. Their secondary structure includes four short double-helical elements and three loops (D, anti-codon, and T loops). RNAcentral also lists the same sequence under 2 other names. The record is from RNAcentral. Lineage: Eukaryota; Viridiplantae; Streptophyta; Polypodiopsida; Polypodiales; Pteridaceae.
GGGGAUAUGGCGAAAUGGCAGACGCAGCGGACUCAAAAUCCGUUGGUUUCGACCGUGAGGGUUCGAAUCCCUCUAUCCCCA